CUCGAUGAUGAUAAUUCUCACAGACCUGUACUGAAAACUGUGAUUGCAACUAUUAAAUCUGAUG
Molecule: small nucleolar RNA, 64 nt
Filed under: Tetraodon nigroviridis (spotted green pufferfish)
Lineage: Eukaryota; Metazoa; Chordata; Actinopteri; Tetraodontiformes; Tetraodontidae
Description: Small nucleolar RNA snR56 (ENSTNIG00000020644.1)
Source: RNAcentral